This 1572-nucleotide ribosomal RNA is filed under the name Bacteroides uniformis. RNAcentral's name for it is "bacterial SSU rRNA". It matches the Rfam family "Bacterial small subunit ribosomal RNA". Lineage: Bacteria; Pseudomonadati; Bacteroidota; Bacteroidia; Bacteroidales; Bacteroidaceae. The record is from RNAcentral.
CUUUUACAAUGAAGAGUUUGAUCCUGGCUCAGGAUGAACGCUAGCUACAGGCUUAACACAUGCAAGUCGAGGGGCAUCAGGAAGAAAGCUUGCUUUCUUUGCUGGCGACCGGCGCACGGGUGAGUAACACGUAUCCAACCUGCCGAUGACUCGGGGAUAGCCUUUCGAAAGAAAGAUUAAUACCCGAUGGUAUAUCUGAAAGGCAUCUUUCAGCUAUUAAAGAAUUUCGGUCAUUGAUGGGGAUGCGUUCCAUUAGGUUGUUGGCGGGGUAACGGCCCACCAAGCCAUCGAUGGAUAGGGGUUCUGAGAGGAAGGUCCCCCACAUUGGAACUGAGACACGGUCCAAACUCCUACGGGAGGCAGCAGUGAGGAAUAUUGGUCAAUGGACGAGAGUCUGAACCAGCCAAGUAGCGUGAAGGAUGACUGCCCUAUGGGUUGUAAACUUCUUUUAUACGGGAAUAAAGUUAGGCACGUGUGCCUUUUUGUAUGUACCGUAUGAAUAAGGAUCGGCUAACUCCGUGCCAGCAGCCGCGGUAAUACGGAGGAUCCGAGCGUUAUCCGGAUUUAUUGGGUUUAAAGGGAGCGUAGGCGGAUGCUUAAGUCAGUUGUGAAAGUUUGCGGCUCAACCGUAAAAUUGCAGUUGAUACUGGGUGUCUUGAGUACAGUAGAGGCAGGCGGAAUUCGUGGUGUAGCGGNNNNNNNNNNGAGGCAGGCGGAAUUCGUGGUGUAGCGGUGAAAUGCUUAGAUAUCACGAAGAACUCCGAUUGCGAAGGCAGCUUGCUGGACUGUAACUGACGCUGAUGCUCGAAAGUGUGGGUAUCAAACAGGAUUAGAUACCCUGGUAGUCCACACAGUAAACGAUGAAUACUCGCUGUUUGCGAUAUACAGUAAGCGGCCAAGCGAAAGCGUUAAGUAUUCCACCUGGGGAGUACGCCGGCAACGGUGAAACUCAAAGGAAUUGACGGGGGCCCGCACAAGCGGAGGAACAUGUGGUUUAAUUCGAUGAUACGCGAGGAACCUUACCCGGGCUUAAAUUGCAAAUGAAUGUUCUGGAAACAGAUCAGCCGCAAGGCAUUUGUGAAGGUGCUGCAUGGUUGUCGUCAGCUCGUGCCGUGAGGUGUCGGCUUAAGUGCCAUAACGAGCGCAACCCUUAUCGAUAGUUACCAUCAGGUUAUGCUGGGGACUCUGUCGAGACUGCCGUCGUAAGAUGUGAGGAAGGUGGGGAUGACGUCAAAUCAGCACGGCCCUUACGUCCGGGGCUACACACGUGUUACAAUGGGGGGUACAGAAGGCAGCUACACGGCGACGUGAUGCUAAUCCCUAAAACCUCUCUCAGUUCGGAUUGGAGUCUGCAACCCGACUCCAUGAAGCUGGAUUCGCUAGUAAUCGCGCAUCAGCCACGGCGCGGUGAAUACGUUCCCGGGCCUUGUACACACCGCCCGUCAAGCCAUGAAAGCCGGGGGUACCUGAAGUGCGUAACCGCGAGGAGCGCCCUAGGGUAAAACUGGUGAUUGGGGCUAAGUCGUAACAAGGUAGCCGUACCGGAAGGUGCGGCUGGAACACCUCCUUUCU